AAUUUAAGUAUUUGUCACUCUUGUGACAUAGUAAUUAACGAUUUGCCACAUCGUAUCUAUAACAUGUGGAUUCUCAUGUGUUAUAACAUAUGGAACUAGUGGCAAAUCAUACGAGUGGCUUACGAGUGGCAAAUAGUUAAAAUCCCCCAUUCUCUCCACCGCGUCAUGGCCUGCGACGGCGCCGCCGUUCCCCUUUCAUCUCGACCUCGGGCACGCAGCUCGCGUCACUCGCCGUCGUCGCUUCCCAGCGAGGCCAUCCACGGCCACCGUCGCUUCUUCCCGGAGACCGCCGCCAUCUCCCCACCCCCGCGUGACACCACUUCUUGCCCUCUCCAUCUAGGGUUUUCUCGGGCCUCGAAUCGCUAAAGCAUGUUCCGCUGCCACGGAGGACAGGGAUGCCCCUGUGCUUCUAUUAUCUCCACCAAGGAGGCUGUUGCAUUCCAGAUCUCCCUGUCGGGCAAGCUCGGGAGGACGCUACAUUGAGCCAUGAUGACUGCAAUACUUCUAGGCCUUGAGAAGAGGAUUUGGACCACUGGUGGUUCUGACCAAGAUUUAACGGUAUGUGUUUUUCUGUAUGUUUUCUUCCUUGUAGUGUCUAUUCCCUUCCCCACGUCCUGAUGAUUACUUGCUCAAGCUGUUUGAUUAUUGUUGCAGCAGUUACACCUUCAGUUGACCACUCAACCAAGGUAUCGAUCAGUUUUGGUCCAAAACAUAUGUUUAUUCUCAUGCAUCGAUUUGCAAUGACCAAAUCUAUGCUUCGAUCUUUUAAUUUGCUACAGUUUUCCCUGCUUCUCUAAUCAGUACCAUUACAGAUUUGUCUCUGUGACUGCUUACUGUACUUUCAAAUUGCUUUACAGUGCAUGCACAAGUCUGUUGCCUAUUUUAGUACUAGCCAAUAUAUAGAUGUUCCCAACGAACAUGGUAAAAAUAUUCUCUGCAAUUCUUUGCUUCUAUAGAUUCUCAUGCAUACGAUAUCUGAUCGAUAUCCAUGAAUCCAUCCUUCUUUUGCAUGGUUUUCAUUUUCAGAACAUUUCAGCUUUCGGUAUAUGAAGCUCAAGAAUGAAGUGACCGUUGUCUGGCUUGCAACCUUUCCAGGGUACAAAUCAAUCAGUUUGGAUAUGGAACACGCAUUGUACGGGUUGCUGCUUAUAGGUUGUUUGGAUAUCACUUAAUGGAUCAAACAAGCUUGUCAUGUUUGUUUAUAUGCAGGUGCUAUUUGGAAUUAAGUGCAGUGGUUGUACGGGUUAAUUCAAACAUAUGUAUGUCUAGAUUCGUAGUACUAGAAUGUAUCACAUCCGGUAGUAGAUUAUUUUUUUAUAGGACAGAAGGAGUAGAGUUCAGAGAAAGUGGCUAGCAAGUAGGCCCCACAUUUUUUAUAUUUUUUCCUAGGCACUUAAAUGUGGGCUUUACCUGUAUUUGUGACUGGGUUGCUCCAUCAUCACAAAGUUGACUAAGUCAAAAGGUCACGUUAACAAAACCA
Non-coding RNA from Oryza sativa Japonica Group (Japanese rice), 1480 nucleotides. The record is from RefSeq and is a predicted model, not a curated record. NCBI's taxonomy places the organism in Eukaryota, Viridiplantae, Streptophyta, Magnoliopsida, Poales, Poaceae.